RNAcentral lists this ribosomal RNA (317 nucleotides) under uncultured Campylobacter sp. RNAcentral's name for it is "bacterial SSU rRNA". It matches the Rfam family "Bacterial small subunit ribosomal RNA", at positions 1205 to 1530 of the family's 1533-position model. The record is from RNAcentral. Lineage: Bacteria; Pseudomonadati; Campylobacterota; Epsilonproteobacteria; Campylobacterales; Campylobacteraceae.
GUCCGGGGGCGACACACGUGCUACAUGGCUUUACAGUAAGACGCAAUAUCGCGAGAUGGAGCGAACCUAUAAAAUAGGUCCCUAUUCGGAUUGGAGUCUGCAACUCCACCCCCUGAAGCCGGAAUCCCUAGUAAUCCUAGAUCAACCAUGCUACGGUGAAUACGUUCCCGGGUCUUGUACUCACCGCCCGUCACACCAUGGGAGUUGAUUUCACUCGAAGCCCGAAUACUAAACUGGUUAUGGUCCACAGUGGAAUCGUCAACUGGGGUGAAGUCGUAACAAGGUAACCGUACAGAACCUGCGGUUGGAUCACCUCC